This is a long non-coding RNA of Spea bombifrons (plains spadefoot toad), 514 nucleotides long. RefSeq lists it as uncharacterized. The record is from RefSeq and is a predicted model, not a curated record. The transcript has 3 exons. Lineage: Eukaryota; Metazoa; Chordata; Amphibia; Anura; Pelobatidae.
UCUAUAGGUUACCUGCCUUGUGUGAGACAGAUGAAGAGCGGUUGAAGAGACCCUGUGAUGUUUCCUGAUCAGCCCGGGGAGAUGUACAGUUGAUGGAGGUCUGUGCUGCGGCUGCAUUGUUGAAUUCACAGACGGAGCAAAAAGCUGGUAAAGGUAUAAAGUCCGUUCUGAAGAAGCUCCUGCAUUCUGGAGACAACCGUCUGGAUCACCGAUCACUUUCUUCACAUUUUGAUUAACGCACAACAGAAGAAGAAGGAAGAGCGCGACCUCGGGCUCUCAAAAAAGAAAGGUCUCCCCAACCUGCCUAUGAUCUAUGUGACAGUGCCUUGGAAAUGGACUGUCCUGAGAAAAAUUGACAGUUUGGAGGUAUGCAGCAUGGUGGUUGGCAGGAAAAGACACAAUGGUCCUUCAACUUCAACCUUUGUCAGGUUGACCAUAAAAAACUGCUUGGACGUCAACAUGGUGCGAUCUAGCUGACUAUCUUCACUGGAUAAGUCACAGUAGGGGAAAAUCU